This 873-nucleotide ribosomal RNA is filed under the name uncultured organism. RNAcentral's name for it is "bacterial SSU rRNA". It matches the Rfam family "Bacterial small subunit ribosomal RNA", at positions 1 to 868 of the family's 1533-position model. The record is from RNAcentral.
GGCUUAGAGUUUGAUCAUGGCUCAGGAUGGACGCUAGCUACAGGCUUAACACAUGCAAGUCGAGGGGCAGCAUGAUUGAAGCUUGCUUCAAUUGAUGGCGACCGGCGCACGGGUGAGUAACACGUAUCCAACCUGCCGAUGACUCUGGGAUAGCCUUUCGAAAGAAAGAUUAAUACCGGAUGGCAUAAUUCUUCCGCAUGGUAGAAUUAUUAAAGAAUUUCGGUCGUCGAUGGGGAUGCGUUCCAUUAGGUUGUUGGCGGGGUAACGGCCCACCAAGCCAUCGAUGGAUAGGGGUUCUGAGAGGAAGGUCCCCCACAUUGGAACUGAGACACGGUCCAAACUCCUACGGGAGGCAGCAGUGAGGAAUAUUGGUCAAUGGACGAGAGUCUGAACCAGCCAAGUAGCGUGAAGGAUGACUGCCCUAUGGGUUGUAAACUUCUUUUAUACGGGAAUAAAGUGCAGUAUGCAUACUGUUUUGUAUGUACCGUAUGAAUAAGGAUCGGCUAACUCCGUGCCAGCAGCCGCGGUAAUACGGAGGAUCCGAGCGUUAUCCGGAUUUAUUGGGUUUAAAGGGAGCGUAGGCGGAUGCUUAAGUCAGUUGUGAAAGUUUGCGGCUCAACCGUAAAAUUGCAGUUGAUACUGGGUGUCUUGAGUACAGUAGAGGCAGGCGGAAUUCGUGGUGUAGCGGUGAAAUGCUUAGAUAUCACGAAGAACUCCGAUUGCGAAAGGCAGCCUGCUGGACUGUAACUGACGCUGAUGCUCGAAAGUGUGGGUAUCAAACAGGAUUAGAUACCCUGGUAGUCCACACAGUAAACGAUGAAUACUCGCUGUUUGCGAUAUACAGUAAGCGGCCAAGCGAAAGCGUUAAGUAUU